GGGCGAUCCCCCGUCUAAGAGUGAGGAGGAGGAGGACAUUCCAGGAGAUGUCACCACAGAGAGUACCAGUAAAAAUAUUAAGAGCAAAGCUAUAUUAUCACUAAAUUAUAAAGAAGAAGAUAAAGAUCUCCUGCAGCGCUCCUCAGGAGAAAACCUUAUUACACUUAAUGUACACCCAGGACUUCACAGUACAGAUCUAUUAUAUAAUCCCCCUCAUCAUGAGGAA
This is a long non-coding RNA of Bufo bufo (common toad), 226 nucleotides long. RefSeq lists it as uncharacterized. The record is from RefSeq and is a predicted model, not a curated record. The transcript is spliced from 2 exons. NCBI's taxonomy places the organism in Eukaryota, Metazoa, Chordata, Amphibia, Anura, Bufonidae.